CCCUUAGAUGUUCUGGGCCGCACGCGCGCUACACUGAUGCAUUCAACGAGUUUCUUCCUGGUCCGAGAGGAAUGGGUAACCUUUUGAAAGUGCAUCGUGAUAGGGAUAGACUAUUGCAAUUAUUGGUCUUCAACGAGGAAUUCCUAGUAGACGUAGUUCAUCAGACUGCAUCGAUUACGUCCCUGCCCUUUGUACACACCGCCCGUCGCUCCUACCGAUUGAAUGCUCAGGUGAGCCAUUCGGACUUUCAUCAUGCUGGUUUCCAGUUUUGAUGAAGGGAAGUCUUGCGAACCUUAUCAUUUAGAGGAAGGAGAAGUCGUAACA
This 324-nucleotide ribosomal RNA is filed under the name uncultured eukaryote. RNAcentral's name for it is "partial 18S ribosomal RNA". It matches the Rfam family "Eukaryotic small subunit ribosomal RNA", at positions 1470 to 1796 of the family's 1831-position model. The record is from RNAcentral.